UUGAAAUAUAGUACCCUAAGCAGUGAUAUUGCUUUUGCUAUUACAGCCAUACAGGAUGUGAAAGAAGGAAGAGUUUCAGGAGAUGCAUAAUUUAUAACUCUUUUUUUUUUUCUUUUUUUUUUUUUUUUCCCCUAGAGAGAGAACUUAAAAAGUACAUUGGAUAAAGCAACAAAUAAAAAUAAUAUGAAGAGGGUAGAAAAAGCAUUGAAGCAUAAGUGAAAACAAUCUGUUUCAACUGAUGUUUAAAGCUCCAAUAAAUAUGAACUUUUCACCACAAGCCCUCUGAAGAUCUGGACUUGAUGCAGGCCCACCACCAAAAGUAGCCUGGCUUGCAGUGCCCCAUAAAAAUGGGGAUUUGUCCAGGAAAAGUGGUGGUGGAUAGCACCUGCCCUGAGAGAGGGUAAAUGGUGUCUGGGGAGGAACUGCCAGGAGGAAAAUGGUGAACAGCUGAGGAAAAUGGUGGCAGAGAGGAAAAGAUGGUCAUCUGUUCUGCAACUUUUGGACUCUGUGUAAUUCCCGAAUGUUGUAAAGGACCAUGUGUUUUGUUUGGAAGCUGCCAUCUGCCUGUGUUGUUU
This 575-nucleotide long non-coding RNA is filed under the name Anser brachyrhynchus (Pink-footed goose). RNAcentral's name for it is "lncRNA (ENSABRG00000020192.1)". The record is from RNAcentral. Lineage: Eukaryota; Metazoa; Chordata; Aves; Anseriformes; Anatidae.